CAGUGGCUUGAGCCCCAUCCCACAGACCACAGGGUCACCGGCUCGAUUCUGCUCAGGGCACAUGCCUGGGUUUCAGGCCAGGUCCCCAGUUAGGACGCAUGCAAGAGACAACUGAUUGAUGUUUUAAAAGGAAAAGAAAAAAGCACCCCUUACAGGUUACCCCUGCUGCUAAUAAAAACCCACUCACUCCACAUCCGUCUGUCCUGGGCAG
Long non-coding RNA from Phyllostomus discolor (pale spear-nosed bat), 211 nucleotides. RefSeq lists it as uncharacterized. The record is from RefSeq and is a predicted model, not a curated record. NCBI's taxonomy places the organism in Eukaryota, Metazoa, Chordata, Mammalia, Chiroptera, Phyllostomidae. The transcript has 3 exons.